RNAcentral lists this long non-coding RNA (1153 nucleotides) under Gossypium barbadense (sea-island cotton). Its description in RNAcentral is "long non-coding RNA (GBAR_LNC008561)". The record is from RNAcentral. Lineage: Eukaryota; Viridiplantae; Streptophyta; Magnoliopsida; Malvales; Malvaceae.
UCAAAUACCAGCACAAAGGGGAGGGACUAAACAUGAAAAUAACCCUUCACCGCAAAGACAUGCGGGUCCUAAGGGUUAGGAAUCGGAUCGGGACAGGCCUUGUCCACACGGCACCGUUUUGGAGCCAUUGAAGCAGGCUCAAACGGCACCGUUUUUGGUUCUUUAAAAAGGGCUCAUUUAAGCCUAUUCAGCCGAACCCUAGCCUCAUUUCCUCUCUUCAGCCGCACUAAGCCAAAUCCCUUGGCCUUGACCUCAUCGCAGCCGACAACGGGCGCCUUCAUUCCUCGCCAAUGAUUUACAGCCCCGUGAUUCCUCCCCCACCUUCGAUUUCAACGAAGUCAAGAGGGAUCAAUGGCGGAUUCGAAGGGUAAGGUCUCGUUUUCCCUUUUUCUUUUGUUUUUAAAUGCAAAAAAUUAGAAAGAAAAACGAAAGAAGCAGUUAGAGAAAAAAAAACGCAAUAGAUCUAGAGACUCAAAACGGAAAUCACCUUUCUUUGCUUUUUUCUAUUUGAUUGUUUCGUAUGCGUAGUGUGUGUCUAAAAAAGAUACAAUGGCAUUGUUCUUGGCUUUAUAGCCGAAACAGAGUAAGAAAAAUCAAAAUAAAAAUACAAUUUUUUUUGUAUUUGCUGCUGUGUGGUUUUUGUAUUUGCUCGCAGGUAAGGGGUGUGCGUUGGCGUACGGGGACUGUGCUGGCGUACGGAGGCGUGGGCGUGGCUGCUGAAAUGCUGGAGGGUACGGAGGCAUGGUGGCUUGGCUGCGGCGCGAGGGGGAGAAACCCUAGGCUUCUGGUGUUUUAGUUUUUCGGGCCUGCUGGGCCGUGAAUUCUUGGGCUGUGUAGUUGGACUGACGGACUGUUAAUAUUUGGAUUUUUUUGUUCUUGUUUAUUUAUUAUUUUUAUUGUGAAUAGGGCCAGGGCAUAAUUGACCUAUUACAGUGUUGACACCAAUUUUCUUUUCAUAAUAACGUAUGUAAAAUACGAGACAUACUCUAUAAAUAUAAAUAUAGAAUCAAAAUAAUAUAUGUUAUUUUAAUUUAUUAUAGGGUUUGAAUUUUGAACCUAAAAUAUUAUUAAUAUGAAGUUUGAGUAUGUCAUCUAUAAUACUCCAUAUGAACUUGAGUUAGCAUCUAAAAUAAGUAAAUAAAUAAAAGCUAAG